RNAcentral lists this non-coding RNA (259 nucleotides) under Paenibacillus sp. RNAcentral's name for it is "T-box sequence". It matches the Rfam family "T-box leader". From Rfam's summary of the family: Uncharged tRNA acts as the effector for transcription antitermination of genes in the T-box leader family. T-boxes are found upstream of many aminoacyl-tRNA synthetase genes and some amino acid biosynthetic genes usually in Gram-positive bacteria. The record is from RNAcentral. Lineage: Bacteria; Bacillati; Bacillota; Bacilli; Caryophanales; Paenibacillaceae.
UUAAAUUCACUGACGAGAACGAGUACGCUAUUCUCCUUGAAUUCCAGAGAGUUGGCCUAGAGCUGAAAGCCAACAUUCAAGACUUAGCUGAAAAUCCCCUCCGAGAAGGAAAGCUGAAGGAAGUUUAGUAAGCUGACCCGGGAUCCCGCCGUUACAAGGGCCGCGUAUGAUAGUACGUAGAACGAGAGCUAUAAUGAUCAUAUUCUUAUGAUCGUUACGGAACUAGGGUGGUAUCGCGAGAUGUAAUCUCGUCCCUUAC